RNAcentral lists this ribosomal RNA (253 nucleotides) under uncultured bacterium. RNAcentral's name for it is "partial 16S ribosomal RNA". It matches the Rfam family "Bacterial small subunit ribosomal RNA", at positions 524 to 776 of the family's 1533-position model. The record is from RNAcentral.
UACGUAGGGGGCAAGCGUUGUCCGGAAUUAUUGGGCGUAAAGCGCGCGUAGGCGGUUUCUUAAGUCUGAUGUGAAAUCUUGCGGCUCAACCGCAAGCGGUCAUUGGAAACUGGGGAACUUGAGUGCAGAAGAGGAGAGUGGAAUUCCACGUGUAGCGGUGAAAUGCGUAGAUAUGUGGAGGAACACCAGUGGCGAAGGCGACUCUCUGGUCUGUAACUGACGCUGAGGUGCGAAAGCGUGGGGAGCGAACAGG